GGGAUAACAUUUGGAAACAGAUGCUAAUACCGCAUAAAUCCAAGAACCGCAUGGUUCUUGGCUGAAAGAUGGCGUAAGCUAUCGCUUUUGGAUGGACCCGCGGCGUAUUAGCUAGUUGGUGAGGUAACGGCUCACCAAGGCAAUGAUACGUAGCCGAACUGAGAGGUUGAUCGGCCACAUUGGGACUGAGACACGGCCCAAACUCCUACGGGAGGCAGCAGUAGGGAAUCUUCCACAAUGGACGCAAGUCUGAUGGAGCAACGCCGCGUGAGUGAAGAAGGCUUUCGGGUCGUAAAACUCUGUUGUUGGAGAAGAAUGGUCGGCAGAGUAACUGUUGUCGGCGUGACGGUAUCCAACCAGAAAGCCACGGCUAACUACGUGCCAGCAGCCGCGGUAAUACGUAGGUGGCAAGCGUUAUCCGGAUUUAUUGGGCGUAAAGCGAGCGCAGGCGGUUUUUUAAGUCUGAUGUGAAAGCCCUCGGCUUAACCGAGGAAGUGCAUCGGAAACUGGGAAACUUGAGUGCAGAAGAGGACAGUGGAACUCCAUGUGUAGCGGUGAAAUGCGUAGAUAUAUGGAAGAACACCAGUGGCGAAGGCGGCUGUCUGGUCUGUAACUGACGCUGAGGCUCGAAAGCAUGGGUAGCGAACAGGAUUAGAUACCCUGGUAGUCCAUGCCGUAAACGAUGAAUGCUAGGUGUUGGAGGGUUUCCGCCCUUCAGUGCCGCAGCUAACGCAUUAAGCAUUCCGCCUGGGGAGUACGACCGCAAGGUUGAAACUCAAAGGAAUUGACGGGGGCCCGCACAAGCGGUGGAGCAUGUGGUUUAAUUCGAAGCAACGCGAAGAACCUUACCAGGUCUUGACAUCUUUUGAUCACCUGAGAGAUCAGGUUUCCCCUUCGGGGGCAAAAUGACAGGUGGUGCAUGGUUGUCGUCAGCUCGUGUCGUGAGAUGUUGGGUUAAGUCCCGCAACGAGCGCAACCCUUAUGACUAGUUGCCAGCAUUUAGUUGGGCACUCUAGUAAGACUGCCGGUGACAAACCGGAGGAAGGUGGGGAUGACGUCAAAUCAUCAUGCCCCUUAUGACCUGGGCUACACACGUGCUACAAUGGAUGGUACAACGAGU
Molecule: ribosomal RNA, 1120 nt
Filed under: Lacticaseibacillus rhamnosus
Lineage: Bacteria; Bacillati; Bacillota; Bacilli; Lactobacillales; Lactobacillaceae
Description: bacterial SSU rRNA
Rfam family: Bacterial small subunit ribosomal RNA
Source: RNAcentral